GAUAUAAGUAUUUUAAUAAAUAUUAGUUAUAUAAUUAAAUUUUAACAAUAAAAUAAUAUUUGACAAAUAGAUGAUAUACAAGUGUUUUUAUGGGUUUCUCAGAGUUUCUCACUUGAAAGACUAAUUCUACUCUCUCUCAUACUUUUUGAUUAUAUUUUAUUUUUAUAUUGAACAGUUUUUUAAUGAGAAACCAUUGAUGGAGAUGGUCUUAAUAAUCAGGAAUCACUAAGAAAAAGAUUCGAAAGAGGACAGAUAUACCUCAAACUCAAAAGGUGUAUUCA
RNAcentral lists this small RNA (281 nucleotides) under Arabidopsis thaliana (thale cress). RNAcentral's name for it is "ATSL129580". Lineage: Eukaryota; Viridiplantae; Streptophyta; Magnoliopsida; Brassicales; Brassicaceae. The record is from RNAcentral.